AACGAACGCUGGCGGCAUGCCUAACACAUGCAAGUCGAACGAGACCUUCGGGUCUAGUGGCGCACGGGUGCGUAACGCGUGGGAAUCUACCCUUGGGUUCGGAAUAACAGGUAGAAAUGACUGCUAAUACCGGAUGAUGACGUAAGUCCAAAGAUUUAUCGCCCAAGGAUGAGCCCGCGUAAGAUUAGCUUGUUGGUGGGGUAAUGGCCUACCAAGGCGACGAUCUUUAGCUGGUCUGAGAGGAUGAUCAGCCACACUGGGACUGAGACACGGCCCAGACUCCUACGGGAGGCAGCAGUGGGGAAUAUUGGACAAUGGGCGAAAGCCUGAUCCAGCAAUGCCGCGUGAGUGAUGAAGGCCUUAGGGUUGUAAAGCUCUUUUACCAGGGAUGAUAAUGACAGUACCUGGAGAAUAAGCACCGGCUAACUCCGUGCCAGCCGCCGCGGUAA
RNAcentral lists this ribosomal RNA (449 nucleotides) under uncultured bacterium. Its description in RNAcentral is "partial 16S ribosomal RNA". It matches the Rfam family "Bacterial small subunit ribosomal RNA", at positions 29 to 523 of the family's 1533-position model. The record is from RNAcentral.